UACGGAAGGCAGCAGUGGGGAAUAUUGCACAAUGGGCGCAAGCCUGAUGCAGCCAUGCCGCGUGUAUGAAGAAGGCCUUCGGGUUGUAAAGUACUUUCAGUCGUGAGGAAGGUGUUAAGGUUAAUAACCUUAGCAAUUGACGUUAGCGACAGAAGAAGCACCGGCUAACUCCGUGCCAGCAGCCGCGGUAAUACGGAGGGUGCGAGCGUUAAUCGGAAUUACUGGGCGUAAAGGGCACGCAGGCGGUUAAUUAAGUUGGAUGUGAAAUCCCCGGGCUUAACCUGGGAAUGGCAUUCAAGACUGGUUAGCUAGGGUCUUGUAGAGGGGGUAGAAUUCCAUGUGUAGCGGUGAAAUGCGUAGAGAUGUGGAGGAAUACCGGUGGCGAAGGCGGCCCCUGGACAAAGACUGACGCUCAUGUGCGAAAGCGUGGGGAGCAAACAGGGAUUAGAUACC
This 453-nucleotide ribosomal RNA is filed under the name uncultured bacterium. RNAcentral's name for it is "bacterial SSU rRNA". It matches the Rfam family "Bacterial small subunit ribosomal RNA", at positions 340 to 786 of the family's 1533-position model. The record is from RNAcentral.